RNAcentral lists this ribosomal RNA (715 nucleotides) under uncultured bacterium. RNAcentral's name for it is "bacterial SSU rRNA". It matches the Rfam family "Bacterial small subunit ribosomal RNA", at positions 777 to 1500 of the family's 1533-position model. The record is from RNAcentral.
AUUAGAUACCCUGGUAGUCCACGCAGUAAACGAUGAAUACUAGCUGUCCGGGGCGAAUGAGCCCUGGGUGGCACAGCGAAAGCGUUAAGUAUUCCACCUGGGGAGUACGCCGGCAACGGUGAAACUCAAAGGAAUUGACGGGGGCCCGCACAAGCGGAGGAACAUGUGGUUUAAUUCGAUGAUACGCGAGGAACCUUACCCGGGCUCAAACGACACAGGAACGGUCCUGAAAGGGGUCGGCUCUACGGAGCCUGUGUCGAGGUGCUGCAUGGUUGUCGUCAGCUCGUGCCGUGAGGUGUCGGCUUAAGUGCCAUAACGAGCGCAACCCUUGCCGUCAGUUGCCAUCAAGCGAAGUUGGGGACUCUGGCGGGACUGCCACCGCAAGGUGCGAGGAAGGGGGGGAUGACGUCAAAUCAGCACGGCCCUUACGUCCGGGGCGACACACGUGUUACAAUGGCAGGUACAGAGGGAUGCUACCGGGCGACCGGAUGCGGAUCUCGAAAGCCUGUCCCAGUUCGGACUGGAGUCUGCAACCCGACUCCACGAAGUUGGAUUCGCUAGUAAUCGCGCAUCAGCCAUGGCGCGGUGAAUACGUUCCCGGGCCUUGUACACACCGCCCGUCAAGCCAUGGGAGCCGGGGGCGCCUGAAGUCCGGGACCGCGAGGACCGGCCUAGGGCGAAACUGGUAACUGGGGCUAAGUCGUAACAAGGUACC